Molecule: ribosomal RNA, 255 nt
Filed under: uncultured bacterium
Lineage: Bacteria
Description: partial 16S ribosomal RNA
Rfam family: Bacterial small subunit ribosomal RNA
Source: RNAcentral
UACGUAGGGUGCAAGCGUUGUCCGGAAUUAUUGGGCGUAAAGAGCUUGUAGGCGGUUUGUCGCGUCUGCUGUGAAAUUUCGGGGCUCAACCCCGAACUUGCAGUGGGUACGGGCAGACUAGAGUGUGGUAGGGGAGACGUGGAAUUCCUGGUGUAGCGGUGGAAAUGCGCAGAUAUCAGGAGGAACACCGAUGGCGAAGGCAGGUCUCUGGGCCGCAACUGACGCUGAGGAGCGAAAGCAUGGGGAGCGAACAGG